AUUAAAACGUUGACUAGACGAGUAGCUAGCAAAUUCUUUUCAGGAAGCUUACGGCAAUUGAGAGUAAGCAGGAAUUGUUGGUGAACCACACCUAGGAGUGUGCUAUUGAACCUUGAGUAGGUAGCAUCGGCUGUGCCCGUUAUCGCACCGGUUGUUAGGAAACUAACACCACGAGGUUUCUUUAGUAAUAAAGAAACAACGAUGAGGUGGGACCGCGUCUAUUCGCCCUCUAA
This 233-nucleotide non-coding RNA is filed under the name Fructobacillus sp. RNAcentral's name for it is "T-box sequence". It matches the Rfam family "T-box leader". From Rfam's summary of the family: Uncharged tRNA acts as the effector for transcription antitermination of genes in the T-box leader family. T-boxes are found upstream of many aminoacyl-tRNA synthetase genes and some amino acid biosynthetic genes usually in Gram-positive bacteria. Lineage: Bacteria; Bacillati; Bacillota; Bacilli; Lactobacillales; Lactobacillaceae. The record is from RNAcentral.